RNAcentral lists this unclassified non-coding RNA (360 nucleotides) under soil metagenome. RNAcentral describes it as "partial contains 5.8S ribosomal RNA, internal transcribed spacer 2, and large subunit ribosomal RNA". The stretch from base 1 to 120 matches the Rfam family "5.8S ribosomal RNA", at positions 35 to 154 of the family's 154-position model. The record is from RNAcentral.
GAUGAAGAACGUAGCGAAAUGCGAUAAGUAAUGUGAAUUGCAGAAUUCAGUGAAUCAUCGAAUCUUUGAACGCACAUUGCGCCCGCCAGUAUUCUGGCGGGCAUGCCUGUUCGAGCGACAUUUCAACCCUCAAGACCCCUUCGGGGGACUUGGUGUUGGGGACCGGCAUAGGGGCCUUGCGCCCCUCGCCGCCCCCGAAAUGAAUUGGCGGCCUCGUCGCGGCCUCCCCUGCGUAGUAGCACAACCUCGCAACGGGAACGUGACGGCGGCCACUGCCGUAAAACAACCCAAUUUUAUUAGAGUUGACCUCGAAUCAGGUAGGAAUACCCGCUGAACUUAAGCAUAUCAAUAAGCGGAGGA